Molecule: ribosomal RNA, 468 nt
Filed under: uncultured bacterium
Lineage: Bacteria
Description: partial 16S ribosomal RNA
Rfam family: Bacterial small subunit ribosomal RNA
Source: RNAcentral
GACGAACGCUGGCGGCGUGCUUAACACAUGCAAGUCGAACGGAAAGGCCCUGCUUUUGUGGGGUGCUCGAGUGGCGAACGGGUGAGUAACCCGUGAGUAACCUGCCCUUGACUUUGGGAUAACUUCAGGAAACUGGGGCUAAUACCGGAUAGGAGCUCCUGCUGCAUGGUGGGGGUUGGAAAGUUUCGGCGGUGGGGGAUGGACGCGCGGCUUAUCAGCUUGUUGGUGGGGUAGUGGCUUACCAAGGCUUUGACCGGUAGCCGGCCUGAGAGGGUGACCGGCCACAUUGGGACUGAGAUACGGCCCAGACUCCUACGGGAGGCAGCAGUGGGGAAUAUUGCACAAUGGGCGGAAGCCUGAUGCAGCAACGCCGCGUGCGGGAUGACGGCCUUCGGGUUGUAAACCGCUUUCGCCUGUGACGAAGCGUGAGUGACGGUAAUGGGUAAAGAAGCACCGGCUAACUACGUG